RNAcentral lists this ribosomal RNA (486 nucleotides) under uncultured bacterium. RNAcentral describes it as "partial 16S ribosomal RNA". It matches the Rfam family "Bacterial small subunit ribosomal RNA", at positions 30 to 507 of the family's 1533-position model. The record is from RNAcentral.
AUUGAACGCUGGCGACAUGCCUUACACAUGCCAGUCGAACGGCAGCACGGGUGCUUGCACCUGGUGGCGAGUGGCGAACGGGUGAGUAAUACAUCGGAACACGUCCUGUAGUGGGGGAUAGCCCGGCGAAAGCCGGAUUAAUACCGCCUACGAUCCACGGAUGAAAGCGGGGGACCUUCGGGCCUCGCGCUAUAGGGUUGGCCGAUGGCUGAUUAGCGAGUUGGUGGGGUAAAGGCCUACCAAGGCGACGAUCAGUAGCUGGUCUGAGAGGACGACCAGUCACACUGGGACUGAGACACGGCCCAGACUCCUACGGGAGGCAGCAGUGGGGAAUUUUGGACAAUGGGCGAAAGCCUGAUCCAGCAAUGCCGCGUGUGUGAAGAAGGCCUUCGGGUUGUAAAGCACUUUUGUCCGGAAAGAAAUCCUUGGCCCUAAUACGGUCGGGGGAUGACGGUACCGGAAGAAUAAGCACCGGCUAACUACGUG